RNAcentral lists this ribosomal RNA (459 nucleotides) under uncultured bacterium. Its description in RNAcentral is "partial 16S ribosomal RNA". It matches the Rfam family "Bacterial small subunit ribosomal RNA", at positions 338 to 795 of the family's 1533-position model. The record is from RNAcentral.
CCUACGGGGGGCAGCAGUGAGGAAUAUUGGUCAAUGGGCGAGAGCCUGAACCAGCCAAGUCGCGUGAAGGAUGACGGCCCUACGGGUUGUAAACUUCUUUUGUCAGGGAGCAAUUGGUCCACGCGUGGGCUUAGCGAGAGUAACUGAAGAAAAAGCAUCGGCUAACUCCGUGCCAGCAGCCGCGGUAAUACGGAGGAUGCGAGCGUUAUCCGGAUUUUUUGGGUUUAAAGGGUGCGUAGGCGGAAUAUCAAGUCAGCGGUAAAAAUUCGGGGCUCAACCCCGGCCUGCCGUCGGAACUGGGUGCCUUGAGUGGGCGAGAAGUAUGCGGAAUGCGUGGUGUAGCGGUGAAAUGCAUAGAUAUCACGCAGAACCCCGAUUGCGAAGGCAGCAUACCGGCGCCCUACUGACGCUGAGGCACGAAAGUGCGGGUAUCGAACAGGAUUAGAUACCCCUGUAGUC